GUGCUUCUCUUUAUCCCAUCUGAUGACCGUUUUCGACCUUUUCCAUGGACAUAUUAAUUGUCGACAUUGGUUUACACACUUGAAACUGCAAGUCUUGAAUCUGAUAUUGUAUCACAAAAUACAUAGAAAAACUAAACGUGAGAGGAACUAUGUACCGCUAACCACAUUGUGCUGAAUACAUAACUCUCAGCUGGUAAAUUUAACAUGUCAGAAAUAUAUAUAGUUCUAGUCUUCUAGACACGCAUCAUGUCAAUUGUCAACUUCUAAAACAAUAGUUUAUCAAAGCGUUCUCCUACAUGGCCUAGUUAUUAUUUUAAGAGUCAUAAUUAUUGGAAAUUCAUAGUUAGAAAUGGGGCCUGUACCAAACAAACUUGUUUAUUUAUAUUUAUUCGGUUGUGAUACUAUAUGAUUUCUCCAUCCCCCAUUAAUAGUUGUUUUCCUUUUAUAUGGCACCUUCAUGUUUGUUUAACAUGUGCUCAGUUGAAACAUUAGCUUGAGCUAUGGGUUUGACAUAUGGAAAUAGAUAUGCGAACAAAUUAAAUGGUCUUACAGUGCUGAGGGUUCACAAUAGGGCUAUGCACCAUACAUCUUGAAAUGGUAAUACAACAAACACUGAAGAUAUAUAUAUAUAUUAUAUAUAUAGCACUAUAGAAACUUUGGAUAGGGUUUGAUAAGGUGGAGGUUUUGGCUGUAGGAUGGUUUUGCGGGCUGCAUCCAGAGUUUAUUCAAGGUAGAGCUUGAAUUUUAUGAAUAUAGAGGUGGAUAAGGAUAUAUUUAUAAAAAAGUAGGUAUCAGGCUAACUUUUGCGUCACUAGCACAGCUUCUUGUCACCAGGUUUUUACGCGAGUUCCCAAAACAAUCAUUUUAUAGAUCAGUGAUCAUAUAGAACUCACCAUAACCGGUUGCCCAAUAGGAAGGAUGCGGCUACCGGAAUAGGUUUAUGACUCCAUAGAGUUUGUAAACAUUACCCAUAUGGUCAGCCUAAAACAAUUGCCAUGGCUUCUUAGACAUGUCCAAUGAGAGUCGUACCCACCGGUUAUUCAGUAUACUUCUACUACGAAAUGUCAAGGAUGUAGGUUCGCACAUAAAAAUACUACACAAAUAAAAGUUGGUCAAUUAUAUAAAUAAAUCACCACAUAUCGAAACUAUGCAUGUGCCACAUAGUACCCAGGCGCCAAAUUAAGCCAGAUCUAUGGGAGUUCACGCAGCAUCCUGGUCCUCUCCUGACGCCUCGUUGCCACUCCAGGCUCCAAGUAUUAGUAAGGUUCAAUCCUUACGGUGUUUGAGAUCAGACUUCCCAUUAAGCAGGUGGUUGCAGAAGUACAAAGUAAGUGAGAUGUUACGAACCGGUCCUUAUGGUGCUAGAGUAAACUUCUCCUAGUGAGGACACCCAUACAGGAUCAUCUUCACCCUACAGGUUGACCUCUGCAGGCAUCCUACUUUCCCUGCACUACUAAAUGGCACAAUAGCACUUGCUAACACACACCACAAGCAGCUCUAGUACGUCCACACAAUGCUGAACUACAACAUGCUUAAUUGCUUAUACCAUAAAGCGAAAACAAGUUUCUCAUAAUUAUAAUCAUGUUCCUAAGCCGCGUUGUCCGGUGAGGUGCUGGGGUAAAAUGGUAUCGUUAUGGACCAGGACAUUCCUGCAGCGUGGUUUUAUGAAAAACAACUUUUGAAAAUAAUGCAUGUUAAGGCAGGCUAGGAGUAAGUGAAGACGGGGAGUCAGUAUGUACUUUCUUUCUUCAAUGUAGUCCUUGGAUCCUUCGAAGUAGUCCAGAUCCUGCUACCUGUCCUCUGAUGCUCCAUCUUCUAAUGCUCGUGAGGAUGGUAACAUAAGUACCAUCCAUCACAAAUAGAAAAAAAUAAAAACGAAAAGGUGACACAAGAGAGCAAAGGUAGGACAAGAUUUAAGAGGAAUUUUGGAGGUGGUUUCAUCAAAUACAGGUUUAGGGUAAAGAAGAUAUGUUUUUUAGAUUUUAUUGCAUUAUUCUUGGAUAUUGAGUUUAUGGGAAGUUUAUAGUUAUUUUUCCAUUAUUCUACGCCUACGGUGGCUCUAGUGUUUCUAGGAUUUUUUUUUUUGAAAUGUUCUCCCAAAGAAAAGGCUAACGCGUGCUGUGGUUGACCUGUGGGGUCCGCUUAGGCGACGUGCACCUGUACACUAGCCUGACCCAAUUUAUGGCAGGAAAGGCAUUCAUUCUUGUGGGGGCAGGGUUGGUGAUUUGCCUCUAUCUGCUAAAGUGAUCUGCACCACGUCUAGAAUUGGGAAACCCGUGGAGGGCAUUGUCUCGGCAUGGCGGAGCUGAUGGCGCGGGGUAUCAUCGACGUCGAUAUCCAAAGCAAAGAUAGCGCCUCACCAGAGUUGGCCAUGGUGGCGAUAAAAAAUGGAAUGACUCGGGAGCGAUAUUGGCUCGGGUUUGGGGGGGGGGGGGGGCAGAGAUGUGCAGGUAGGGCGUACGAGACGACGUCGUGGGGGCACACUGACAAUCAGCCAGGGCAACCAUGCUCGAUUGAAGCAUAGCGGCUCAGGGUGCACGCAGAUGAGGUGGGGCAGGGAAGGAGAGAGAGAAGGGGCACAUAGACGGAAGAGAGAGGAUCAGUAAUACUUACCAACUACUGGUCCUCGAGGCUCGCUACGCGGCUGCGGUGGCAAACCAAUGGUGAACCGACACGGUGCACCUCCAACAUUGAGAAAAUAGGGGAGCUUGGGAAACAGGAAAAGACAGGAAGAGGGGCCUGAGGGCUGCUGCCUGGUGGUGGUCCUCGAGCUGCUGCUCUGCUUGGUGCAGAGAGUGAGCUUGGGCAAGAGAGGAAGAGGGACUCUAGGGCUGCCUGCCUGGUGGUGGUGCUCGAGCUGCUGCU
This 2865-nucleotide long non-coding RNA is filed under the name Panicum hallii. Its description in RNAcentral is "long non-coding RNA (PHAL_LNC000809)". The record is from RNAcentral. Lineage: Eukaryota; Viridiplantae; Streptophyta; Magnoliopsida; Poales; Poaceae.